Molecule: ribosomal RNA, 238 nt
Filed under: uncultured bacterium
Lineage: Bacteria
Description: partial 16S ribosomal RNA
Rfam family: Bacterial small subunit ribosomal RNA
Source: RNAcentral
CGGCGGACGGGUGGGUAACGCGUGGGUAACCUACCCUGUACACACGGAUAACAUACCGAAAGGUAUGCUAAUACAGGAUAAUAUAUUUGAGAGGCAUCUCUUGAAUAUCAAAGGUGAGCCAGUACAGGAUGGACCCGCGUCUGAUUAGCUAGUUGGUAAGGUAACGGCUUACCAAGGCGACGAUCAGUAGCCGACCUGAGAGGGUGAUCGGCCACAUUGGAACUGAGACACGGUCCAA